CUUACACAGAAAAUGGAGUUUAGUCCUCACACCACCAGACUUUUGUUUUACUCUAAAACUGUCUUUGAAUCUUCACGGACAGCUGCAGAAACUGCACUUUGCAGACCCUCCUGAGCUGGUGAAUGCUUUCCCUCCAUGCUGUGGUCUCAGCCUUCUGCUCACAAGUGGCCCUACUUUUCCAGUCACAUUCACAGGAAUCUGAAACUAACCACAGUCAUGCGGCAGAGCAGUGAGAAAACGUUUUCCAGCUGCACUACCGAACUUGACGACCGGUGAGAGGCCUCUCCCCGAGCUGCCGGCCAGAGCUGGACCUGCGCCACUGGAAACAGAAGUGCAACUUUAUCACUUGACUUCAAGAAGAGCUUUUCCAGCAGCACAUGGAGACAAUCAGAAAAUCUCCCUUAUCUUUGCAAUGUCUACUAGCAACAAAUUCAAUUACAUUUUAUUUGUUGCAGACAUGUAGGAGGAGGAUACACAUUUCUCAGAAUUUCUUCAACCUUUCUCUGGUAACUUGCAGCUUCCAAACAGGAAUCUUCCUCUUGCCUUCCUCAUCAGGCUACCUGAAGAAUUCCUUGAAAGGUUUCAGACUUACAAAAAACAGGAACACUGACUGUGUUCUAACUCCCUUGCCUUUAGAACAUCCCAAAUAUCUGCCUUGGCUUGUAUCCAGAUGUCUCCCAAAGUCUCAUGUGGUCAUAGGUGGGGCUUGCUAAAUUAAUCCACUAAUUGGCAUGGCAUAGUUCUGGGAGUGGAUAAUGGGAAGGCCCAACCUGGGUGUGAGUGCUGCCUGCAGUAAGGGUGUGCAGCCUGGAUAGAAUAUAAGGGAUGGAAAGAAGGCUGCUGUCCUCACUUGCUGCCCCACUACUUCACUGCCUGCUGCCUUCUGUCUGCCAUGGACUGUUUCUUCUCUGGGAUGCCCCUCUGCCAUGCCACCCUGCCUUGGAGUCAGCCAACUAUGAACUGAGACUUCUACAUACUGUGAGCCAAAU
RNAcentral lists this long non-coding RNA (989 nucleotides) under Heterocephalus glaber (naked mole-rat). RNAcentral's name for it is "lncRNA (ENSHGLG00100032486.2)". The record is from RNAcentral. Lineage: Eukaryota; Metazoa; Chordata; Mammalia; Rodentia; Bathyergidae.